UUUUCUCCCUCUCUCCCUUGUGUCCCGUUCUGCCAUUCCUACAUCCUUGGAGCCCAUCUUGCCCUUGGACAACCUCAUGCUCCAUCAGGCCAGGGCAUGGAGGUGCCUCAGGUGCACAGCCAGGUGCCAGACCCCCCACAGUGCACAAUGAACAGCCACAGAGACAGAGAGAGGAAGAAUACAUGCACCAGAACACAGCUGGCUCCAGGCAAGACGGGACUGAGUGUGCACAGGGCAAGCAGCUCUGCCCACCUGCUUGACUGGGCAGUAUGCAGGGUCAGAACACUCUCCAUUGCUGCUCCUGAUCCAGCACCCAGCUCCCACACCAGAAAAGGAAAGAAACUCCAAGGCUCUAGCUUGUCACCUGUUUAAUAGGCACAGCAAAAGGAAGUCUUUAAAUCCACUUCACUUAUCUAAAUGGAUUUGCAUUUGGCAUCCUUUCCAACAAGGGCAAUGAAAACAGAUUUUUAAUGUGAUAUGCUAUAAUUUUACUA
This is a long non-coding RNA of Vidua chalybeata, 494 nucleotides long. RefSeq lists it as uncharacterized. The record is from RefSeq and is a predicted model, not a curated record. The transcript has 3 exons. NCBI's taxonomy places the organism in Eukaryota, Metazoa, Chordata, Aves, Passeriformes, Viduidae.